This 2834-nucleotide ribosomal RNA is filed under the name Quercus robur (English oak). Its description in RNAcentral is "bacterial LSU rRNA". It matches the Rfam family "Eukaryotic large subunit ribosomal RNA". The record is from RNAcentral. Lineage: Eukaryota; Viridiplantae; Streptophyta; Magnoliopsida; Fagales; Fagaceae.
AUGGAUGGUUUCUCGGGGUAUAACCAAAUCAAGAAAGAUAUGACCAAAACCACUUUCACUACCGAAUGGAGAAUCUAUUGUUACACAGUGAUGCUGUUUGGCCUCAAGAAUGCCAUGGUAACCUGCCAAAGGAUGGCUACGGCCUUGUUAAAUGAUAUGAUGCAUAAUGAGGUGGAGGUGUAUGUCGAUGAUAUGAUAGAGAAAUCCAAAGAUAGAGAAAGCCACCCUAUAAACUUGAGGAAGUUCUUUAAAAGGAUUAAAGAGUAUAGACUAAAAUUUAACCCACAAAAGUGUACCUUUGGAGUAACCGCCGGAAAAUUGCUAGGCUUCCUAGCGAGUGAUAGAGGGAUAGAAGUUGACCCAUCUAGGAUCAAAUCCAUAUUGGAGAUGCCUCCACCUAGAAUUGAGAAAGAGAUAAAGGGUUUCUUGGGUCGAUUACAAUACAUUACUCGAUUCAUUACCAAACUCACCUCCACUUGUGAACCUAUCUUUAAACUCCUAAGGAAGAAUGAACCACAUGCAUGGAAUGAUGAGUACCAAAAGGCCUUUAAACUUAUCAAGGAAUAUCUCUUCCACCCACCUAUAUUAGUGCCUCCCCAACAGGGAAAACCCUUACUCCUAUACCCCUCUAUCAUAAGGGAUGUGGUUGGAAGUAUGCUUGCACAAGAAGAUGAUGACAAAAAUGAGGGGGCCAUAUACUACUUGAGCAAGAGGUUCCAUGAUUACGAGACUAGGUGCACUCCCGUUGAAAAGUCAUGCUUUGCACUUGAUUAGGUCAUACAAAAGUUAAGACAUAUCAUCCUACCUUUCCAAAUAUGGGUGGUAGCAAGAAUGGACCCAUUGAAGUAUCUCUUUGAAAAGCCUACGGGAUGAACCGGAAGCUGGGUUAUGAUGCCCAACUAUGUGCUAACCUAGAACCCACAAAGGGUGUUCGUUGAUUAAGACAGCAGGACGAUGGUCAUGGAAGUCGAAAUAUACUAAGGAGUGUGCAACAACUCACCUACCGAAUCAACUAGCCCCAAGAAUGGAUGGCACUGAAGUGCGCAACCUAUAUGCGCUCGUCAGGGCAAGUUCCAAGCCCCGAUGAGUAGGAGGGCACGACAAUCGCUGCAAAACUUAGGGCGCAAGCUUGGGCAGAGCGGCCAUCAGUGCAAAUCUUGGUAGUAGUUGCAAAUAUUAAAAUGAGAACAUUGAAGGCCGAAAAGGGGAAAGGUUUCAUGUGAACGACACUUGCAUAUGGGUUAGUCGAUCUUAAGAGACCAGGGAAGCCCAUUUGAUAGCGUGCUAAGCUCGGGCUUCGAAAGGGAAUUGAGUUAAAAUUCUUGAACCGAGAUGUGGCAGUUGACAAAAACAUUAGAGAGUCCGGAGACAUCGGCGGGGGCCUCAAGAAGAGUUAUCUUUUCUAUUUAACAACCUGCUCACCCUAGAAACGACUCAGCCAGAGGUAGGGUCCAGCGGCUAGAAGAGCACCACAUGUUGCAUGGUGUUCAGUGCGCUCCCGAUAGACCAAGUGCCUCCCACGUCCAUUCGUACUCAUAACCGCAUCAAGUCACCAAGGUAAACAACCUCUAGUCGAUGGAAAAAUGUAGGCAAGGAAAUUUGACAAAAUGGAUCUGUAACCUUAGGAAAAGGAUUGGCUCUGAGAGCUGGGCACGGGGGUCCUAGUCUUGAACCCAUCGGUUGUUAGCAAAUUGCUCGAGCUGCUCCCGCGUGCCGACCAGGGGAUAGACUAGGAACGACCGCCUCGGCAGUCUUCCUCUAGCUUUGAACUGUCGACUCAGAACAGGUACAGACAAUGCAUUGCAAUUGUCCCUACAAAUGCUCACGCAAUGUGAUUUCUACCCAGUGCUCUGAAUGUCAAAGUGAAGAAAUUCAACCAAGUGCGAGUAAAUGGCAGGAGUAACUAUGACUCUCUUAUGGAAACCAAAUGCCUUACCAUCUAACUAGUGAUGCGCAUGAAUGGAUUAACAAGAUUCCCACUAUCCCUAUCUACUAUCCAGCGAAACCAUAGCUAAGGGAACGAGCUUGGCAAAAUUAGUGGGGAAAGAAGACCCUAUUGAGCUUGACUUUAGUUCGACUUUGUGAAAUGACUUGAGAGGGCACGCAAAUGUCCUAAGAUGAGCUCAACGAGAAUAGAAAUCUUGUGUGGAACAAAAGGUUAAAAGCUUGUUUGAUUCUAAUCUUCAGUACGAAAAUGAACUGUGAAAGCGUGGCCUAUCGAUCCUUUAGACCUUCGGAAUUUAAAGCUAGAGGUUUCCAAAAAGUUACCACAGGGAUAACUGGCUUGUUGUAGCCAAGCAUUCAUAGCGACGUUGCUUUUUGAUCCUUUGAUGUCGGCUCUUCCUGUCAUUGUGAAGCAGAAUUCACCAAGUGUUGGAUUGUUCACCCACCAAUAGGGAACGUGAGCUAGGUUCAGAUCGUCAUGAGACAGGUUAUUUUUACCCUACUGAUGACAGUGUUCUGAUAGUAAUUGAACCUAGUACAAGAGGAAUUGUUGAUUCGCACAAUUGGUCAUCGUGCUUGGUUGAAAAGCCAGUGGCACGAAGCUACCAUGCACUGGAUUAUGACUGAGUGCCUCUAAGUCAGAAUCUGGGCUAGAAGCGACGCGUGCACCCACCGUCCAUUUGUCGACCUACAGUAGGUGCCCUCGGGCCCCUAGAGGCAAAUUUAUUUAGCUAAGCCCCCACGGCCGAGGAGCUGUGUGGGCCGCCUUGUAGUAUAAUUCCCACUAAGUGGCGGGUAGAAUCCUUUAUAGACGACAUAAAUAUGCGACAAGGUUUUAUAAGUGGUAAAGUGGCCUUGCUACCACGAUCCACUAAGAUUUAGCCCUGUCU